AUUCCAGCUCCAAUAGCGUAUAUUAAAGUUGUUGUGGUUAAAAAGCUCGUAGUUGGAUCUCGGCGGUCUGAGGGCGGUUCGCUUCAGAGCGCUACUGCCAGAGGUCUCAGGGUGCUCUUAACCGAGUGUCUUGCGAUGCUGGCAGGUUUACUUUGAAAAAAUUAGAGUGCUCAAAGCAGGCUUUUACGCCUGAAUAUUCGUGCAUGGAAUAAUAGAAUAGGAAGUCGUUUCUAUUUUGUUGGUUUUCGGAAAUCGACUUAAUGAUUAAUAGGGACAGUCGGGGGCAUUUGUAUUCAAACGACAGAGGUGAAAUUCUUGGACCGUUUGAAGACAAACUACUGCGAAAGCAUUUGCCAAGAAUGUUUUCAUCA
Molecule: ribosomal RNA, 371 nt
Filed under: Pseudocalanus sp.
Lineage: Eukaryota; Metazoa; Arthropoda; Copepoda; Calanoida; Clausocalanidae
Description: partial small subunit ribosomal RNA
Rfam family: Eukaryotic small subunit ribosomal RNA
Source: RNAcentral